UAUAGAUUUUCAAGUGCUUUUGAAGUCGAGAAAACAGUGAAUAAAUCUAAAAUCCUGUGAUAAGAAUUUUUCCACACUUUGCAACAAAUGGAUGGAUGUUACCUGAUACUGCAGUCAAUAUUUUAGAGGGGAAAAUGAGUGUGAUUGCUGCAUGUGAAGUUGGAAGAGGACCAUGAGCCAAGGCGUGCAGGCAGCCUCCAGGAACUGGAAAAGGCUCAGGUUUCACUUCAUCUUCCCCAGAGCCUCUAAGGAGAAUGCAGCUCUGCUAACAGCUGGAUUUUAGCCCAGUGAGACUUCUGACCUCCAGAACUGCAUAAUAAUAAAUUUGCAUUGUUUAAGCCUUUAAGUGUGUGGUUAUUUGUGACAGCAGCAGUAGGAAACUAAUGCAGCAGAACAUAAGUCUGAGGCUCUUGCUGCUUGUCUUUACCACCACUUGGACCAGAGCCUGCUUCAAGAUAAAGCCGAUGUUGGGGAUUGAAUCAUGUCCCCCACAAAUGGCACCUUCAGGUCCCAACCCUUUCCUGUGGCGUGAACCCCUUUGUAAAUAGUGCUUUGAAGAUGUUAUUAGUUAAGGUGUGCCCAAACUGAAUGACGGUGGGCUUUAAUCCAAAAGGACUGAAGUCCUUAUAAGCAAGGGAAAUUGGACACACAGAAAGAAGCCACAGGAAACAGCCAGAAGCUGGAAGUCACCAGAACCUGGAAGAGAAAGAAGACAAAACCAUGUACAUUGCCAAAUGAUGGAAAAAUCUAAGAAACCUCAAAGAUUUCUGGUCAGCCAAAAGACAGCAGCCCUGGGAGGAAGUAAACCCCCCAGCCUUUGAAAGUGUGAGCUAAUAAAUUCCUGUUGUUAAGCUUUGUUUUAGCAGCCCAGAGACUAAAAUAGUAAUAUAAAGAAGAGCCAAGUGAUAGAGACAUAUUAUAUUAUUGGUGACAUUAUUUGAGUACUUGGAUCUAACCCUUCAUGAAAUAGUUAAAUUGGAAUUUUCUGUUGUAGCAAACAAAAACUAUUUUUUGCUUCAGUUACUUUGAUCUGGGAUCUAUCCUGCUUGUAUACAGAUUUAUGUACAAGUUUAUUUUCUUAUCUCACUUUAUUUAUAAUAGCCCCAGUUUGGAAACAGUUUGUAUCUAUCAUGCUCACCUGUAAAUGUUGUUGAUUGAGUAAAUUAAGGCAUAUUUCAAAGAUAUAAAAUUUAUAGCCAUGGAAUUUAUUCUAGAAAACUGUAAAUUUACGUGGGAAAAUGUUCAGCAAAUACCAGUUUUUCACUGGAGGAAAAAAAUGGAAACUAGCAUUCACAGCAAAUUCUAACCACAUGGGAAAACCUUUAGAAAGUUACAAAAAUGGAGGCUUUUUCUAUGAUAAUUUGGAAAGAUUAGAAAUACCUUUCAAACUCCUGCAUUCAUCCUUGCAUUGUGUAAAGCGACAUUUCAAACAUUUAUCAGUACU
This is a long non-coding RNA of Choloepus didactylus (southern two-toed sloth), 1444 nucleotides long. RefSeq lists it as uncharacterized. The transcript is spliced from 3 exons. NCBI's taxonomy places the organism in Eukaryota, Metazoa, Chordata, Mammalia, Pilosa, Megalonychidae. The record is from RefSeq and is a predicted model, not a curated record.